GGGCUGUCAGUAAAGAGGUUUAUUCUUUCAUUUGGAUAUUAACAGGUUGGUACCAGGCCUAUCAAGAUUUGCCACCUGGAGCUCAUCAGAGAAGCAGCUGUUGUAAUCCAGGAGGAGAAGGAAGUGAAAUUUAUGCCAAGAGCAGAAUACACCUGGUCUCCUUCCGAACAGGCUGCCAGAACAGCACGUUAAACACCCCAUUUUCCUUCAUGGCCAUUGACUAGACACAGGUAACUCUUUGCAAAGCAUCUAAAGACGGGCUAAGCAGCUCAGAUGCUUUCAAGAUAACACUCUGGGAUCGCUUUGGGGGCAUUGAAAAGAUAAUUCUGAGGGCUGUAAAGGGAUCUUUUGAGAAUGUCUUUUAAUAAUGUAAGAAUGGGAGGUAGGGUUUCCAUUGAAUGACAGAUGGGAUGAAUCGAACAGAGGAACAAUGGCGCUAUUGACACACGGUUGCUACUUGAUAACCCUUUGAGCCUCUCCUGGGUUUUCCCUUGACCUGGUACAGGGUAUGCCCCAGAUGGGGAUGCUCUCCUCUUGGGGCACGCUGAGUGGGAGAGUUUGAAGAGAGAUUCAUUAGAGAGUGACUGAAUUACAUACUUUUCCAAAAUCCAUCAAAAAGUUAAGAGCUCAGGAGCGCAAACAGCUUGACCAACUUCCUAUUCAAGAGUGCUGGAAAACUUAGCUUCAAAAAAUGUUGAACUAUCACCCAGAGAGCAGAGGGUAACAAUAACACCCAGAAAACACAUUUAGGUGACAAAUUAUGUCUUUUUCUCAUACCCCUUGUCCUAUAAAUUUAGCAAUACUGUAAGGUUCCCCCACAAUGAAGUCAGUUGCCUUUUCAUUCUCCAGAUAUAUACUUUUGGAGGCUCAGUUGCUAGGUACAAAUUAGGAGCAGACUAGCCAAUGGAGACCAACUGAAGAGUAUAGAUGAGGUUUCUAUCAGAGGUGGGGAACCUCAGGACCAAGGGGCAAAUGCAAGCUUCCUGGCCUUCCUGUCUGCUCCUUUGAACUCUCCCUGGGACACAACCCCUAGCCAGUCUUGCUCAGCACCCUCUUCAGGGUAGAAACCUCUGACUGAAAUGCAACCUACCCUACAAAAAGAAGAGUUACACCUGUUGCUCCAUCCACUUUUGCCUCGGGGCCCCACCCACCAUGGCAGGUGACCUCCAGCAGGUUACCAACAAGGGAAUGCAGAUCUCAAGCUGGAAAAUGUCAUGUGCUCCCCACGCUCAAUUAUAUGGUUAUAGUUCUUUGGCUGAAUGUUUGAAACAUGAUGUCUGCAUUUGGUCUUCUCUCCUCUGAUUCUUCAUUGAGAAAGUAAAGAUGCUUCACCUAGUUUCCUCAGCUGUAGUCUGUGUAAACUAAUAGCUGGGAAACGGUUCUAGCAUUUCUAAUUUCUUGUUGGCUAAAUCUGCUCUUUGUUAUCUGGAUUAUCCUAAGCAGGUGGAACAAAACCACAUGACUAUUUAAUUGGGAGUUUGAUUUCUAUCUAAAAGGAAGAUAUUUUAAUUUGGGGGAGGGGGUUCCCAUUGAGAGGGGGUUAAAAUAACUAGCCCUUCCCGUGUAGACAUGAGAACAGAACAAGAAAUAUAGAUUAGAUGCCAUUUUCUAUUUCAGCAAUUUUUAUACCGACAGACAGACAGACAGACAGACAGACAGACAGACAGACAGAAGUGGUGUACAGCAAACUAGAAAAACAGAAAAAUGUUACAAAAACACGCAAUAAAACCAAUAAUACAAACCAAUAAUAAAUAAACACAGAUACAAAUGCCUUCUUCUGACACAAUUCACCACUCAGCAUGUCUCAGCCUCCACCCAUCUACCAUGGCUCUUACCCAAGGUCCAAACAAACUCACAGAUCAACCCCCAAAUCUCACAACAAAUAGGGUUCCUUGAACCUGCUGGCUGACAUCACCCUAGUCUCUCACUCUAGGGUUUCUGGGCAGGCACCCAGGUCUGAUAGAACUAACUCAGGCUGCCCACUGCUGUGUUCCAUUCAGCAUUCAAAUCAGCGGCACUGUACACACCCAUUUUCAGACAACAAUAGGUUUGGUUAGUUUUCGGGGAGUCCCAAGGAUGGCAUACCUGUGAUCCGUUUCACUGCAUUAGUGAUUAUUACUGCAGGAGUGUACACCUUAGAAGUGACACAAUCCUGUGACAUGUCCUUGUUGCUCAGAUUGGUGUGCUUUUGAAACACACUUGGAUACUUGAACCAAACUGCUGUAUGGAGAAAAAAGGGGCAUUGCUUUGUGUGUGUUUGUUUCCAUUCCCAUCUCUUUUGGGGGGGGCUAGCUGCUCUUCAACCAUGUUAGGCGCAUUAAUCUGAGAAUAAAUACACUCCGGCACAUGUACACACACUUGAACAGUUUGUGAACUGCACAGUCCCUCACGCUUGAAGUGGAAUGUAAAAUUGCAUUAAUGACUUGAACCUGGGAAUUGUGAGUAUUCUGAAAACUACUUGUUAGGCAGCUGUGAGGGCCUUUAUGUACCAUGUAACCUUUUCUCCCUCUAAAAUGCUAUUAUUAUGUUAGCACAGCUCUUAAAAACAGCUCCUUGCAGCUGACAUGCACUGUCCAUUUUUAACAGAAUAAAACAUGUUGCUCUAUCUUUGACUGUGCACUUAUGGCGAAAUUAUGAGCUCUUAUGGCUUAUUCCACAUGGCUUUUAUGCUGCUCUCCAGAAACCACUUUUGGCCUGUGAAAACAUCCCCUCUCUCCAAUUCAUAAUCUCUUAGAUGAACAUCUAACUACAUUAACUCCUAAAGAAUACGGCUAUAAAAUCACCACAUUACUCUGGCUUUUAGCUAGCUCGUCCAUCACUAUCGUUUUUUGCUACAUCUCUCAAGAAACAAUCCAGCAGCUUGAAAUUUUGAUUUUCAAAACAUGGUCUCCCUUUAAAAAAAAAAAAAAUGCUCCCGUUUUGUGACACUCUGUACACAAUGCGGCUCAAAAAUAAGUAUAAUCAAAAGUAAUAUGUGAGCACCUUAGAAAAUAUUACCAAUAUUUACAGACAUGUAUUGUGUGAUAUCCAACACCUUGAUCAGCAAUUAGUCUUGCCAAUUGGUUACUUUGACAAAAAAAAGUGGGAGGGGUGGGCUUCACUGUGAAACUGCCCUGCUGCAAAGUAUUACUGUUGCAGAUUUAACUCAUCCACACCUCCUUUUUCACUCUGGGACUGUUAAAUGGAGGAGGGGCCAGAAGGCAUGACUUGGGGUGCUGAUUUGGUCCAUGGUCUGCUGGUUACUGACCCCUACCUCAAUUUUAUGUGAAUAGAAAAAUAAACCAAACCCUUAUUGAUAGGAACCUGAAGAGCUAUCUCAUACCAGGUCAAACUCUUUGGCACCUACUCUGAUUGUCUAACCAACAUGGCACCCUUCAGGUGUUGAUGGACUCCCAUCGUCCCUAACCAUUGACCAUGCUGGCUGGAGUUGAUGGGUGUUAGGAGUCCAACAACAUCUAGAGGACACCAUUUUGGCUACCCCGGGUCUACUCUGAUUGGCAUAGCCAUCCAGGGCCCAAGGCAGAGGCAGAGGUAUUUCCCAUCAAAGGUUCCCUCAUCCUUUUAACUAGACUUUCUGCAUGCAGAAUAUGCUUUGCCACCGAGUCAAGGUCCCUUCCCAAAACUUCCCUUCCAUUUCUCCUUUAUAGACACAAUAGCAACUGUUUGUAGCCACUUCAGUGCAUAUUCAUUUUCCUUUGCUCCAGUAAAGCUUGUAUUGUAUGUUCAUGUUUAGGGAAAGGUCAAAUAUUUUCGUGGCUGCCUACACAGUACUAGUGCCGCUUAAUACAUUUAUCUGUGCCCCCACACUACACUAUAUUAGACACAUAAUGCAAUCCAGCAGGAGGGUUGCACUCUACUGAGACACAGAGCAGAAAAUCAGUAGUCAGUAACUGAGUGCCAAACCACACGUGAUGGAGAAAAUCAUAUGAAAAGCCCCAGCAGUCUCAAGUUGCAUCCAGGUCUUCAUCAGAAAAAAUGAGAAUCCAAAAACAUGCAAGUCUGAAAUGGUUCAGUAGCCUGCAUUUCCAAGUUCCCUUCAAAGGUCAAGUAACUGAAUACUUUCAGGCUUGCUUGCUUUGGGAUCCAAAUCUUUCUCUGAUUACAAGAUGGGUGCAGCUUGAAGUGGUCUGGGUAUUUCUGUAUCGUUCUCUGAAACUGUGCUACUGAAUGUUGAUGUUAGAAUAAUAAUAAUAAUAAUAGAUUUUAUUUAUACCCCACCCUCCCAGCCAAGACCGGGCUCAGGGCGGCUAACACCCGAUAUAAAAACAAAUUGAUUGAAAUACAACUUAAAAACAAGAUUAAAAUACAACAUUAAAACAUUAAAAUACAGCCUCAUUUCAAUGAAAACUCAUAUCAAAAACUUUAUACUAGGCUGAAGGCCAAAUCUACAAGUUACAUGCAUUGUUUCCCUCCAUCACCACAGUGGUGAGUAAUGUGUGUGUGUGUGUGCGUGCGCGCGCGUGUGUGUCUAGAGCAGCCUUUCCCAACCCUGGGUUCCUAGAUGUGGUUGGACUACAAGUCCCAUCAUCCCUGACCACUGGUCCUGCUAGCUAGGGAUGAUGGGAUUUGUAACCCAACAAUAUAUGGGACCCGGGGUUGAGAAAGGCUGGUCUAGAGCAUGACUAACUAGCCUGUGACCCUUCAGUUGUCAGACUCCAACUGUCAUCAACCCUCACAGUGCUGGAUUACCUAAUAGGCAAUCUCAACACAUCAUUAGGGCACCAGCAAAGCAGGGUCACAAAAAAGAGAAGUCUUUUUCUUUUAAGAAUUUGACAUUCACUAUUUAAAAAACAUUUUUCAUGGGGAAAAUCAGGCCUUUGUUAGACUUCAUUACACACUCUUCCCCCAUUUUUCUGUUCUUUCUAUUACUUUUACUCACCUAAACUAAGGGGCAUCCAACUAAUGCAGAUCAAAGUGAUGAAAGAAAAUAAGAUCCUGUCAGGUGUUGCAAUAAAUCUAUGUUUUAGUUUUAUUUUACAUUUUUUUUAUUUAGUAUUGUUUUUAUUUUGAAUUACAUGGGGGGGGCACCACAACCUUUUCUAUGCUUAGGGCCUCUAAAGGUCUGGAUCUGGUCCUGAUCCCUGAUCACUGACUCUGGCCGGAAGCUAUGAGGGUUGUAAUCCAGCAUUAAUGCUGAACCUGUCAAGUGAAAUGCUGCAGCUUAUACUAGAUAUGUGGCACACACUAGAAAAGUUUAGAGGUACAUCCUGAGCUUAAAACAUGGGAAUUGGACCUAAAAUAACAUGUCUGUCAACAGCAGCACACAAACUUUCCCAGGCAGAGUUAAUGACUUGUGUGUUUGUUGAUGGAUGAUUUGGGCCAAAGUUUAUGGGCAACUGGAUUUUAAAACAGAGCCAAUUUUUUUGUACUAAUUUACUUAAAACUGGGUAUUUCAAAUGGCAUUACAUUCCACUGUAAACAUUCCCACACAGUGGCCUCAAUGGUCUUUAAUCGGCUUUGUAACUGGAGAGGUACAAGUUCUUUGAAGCCAACUACUGUCAGCCUUCCAUCUUUUAUCAGUAGUAAUUACCCAUUUACUAUAGUUCAAACUUCUCUUUUGAUAACAUUGAAACAGUUAUUUACAAAGAAGAUUUAGGGUUAAAUAAUUGUUAGACAUGCACAUGUAGAAUUUUGUGUGUGCGUGCUGGGCAGAGAAAGAAUGUAUUGAAUGCUCUUUCCUGCAGCCAAAAUCCUUAGCAGAGCUCAGUCUGCCCUUUCCUGUCUUCCUUCUAGCUCUAAGCAGGCCUGAGGCUCCCCACUGGUUCCCCACCCCUGUCUGCCUGCCUAAUAUAAGAAUGUAAGUAAAGC
RNAcentral lists this long non-coding RNA (5808 nucleotides) under Podarcis lilfordi (Lilford's wall lizard). Lineage: Eukaryota; Metazoa; Chordata; Lepidosauria; Squamata; Lacertidae. The record is from RNAcentral.